GAGGGUAUAGCUCAGUGGUAAAGUGCAUGCCUAGCAUGCACAAGGUCCUGGGUUCAAGUCCCAGUACCUCUA
This 72-nucleotide transfer RNA is filed under the name Camelus bactrianus (Bactrian camel). It matches the Rfam family "tRNA". Rfam says of the family: Transfer RNA (tRNA) molecules are approximately 80 nucleotides in length. Their secondary structure includes four short double-helical elements and three loops (D, anti-codon, and T loops). Further hydrogen bonds mediate the characteristic L-shaped molecular structure. tRNAs have two regions of fundamental functional importance: the anti-codon, which is responsible for specific mRNA codon recognition, and the 3' end, to which the tRNAs corresponding amino acid is attached (by aminoacyl-tRNA synthetases). tRNAs cope with the degeneracy of the genetic code in two manners: having more than one tRNA (with a specific anti-codon) for a particular amino acid; and 'wobble' base-pairing, i.e. permitting non-standard base-pairing at the 3rd anti-codon position. The record is from Rfam by way of RNAcentral. RNAcentral also lists the same sequence under 2 other names. Lineage: Eukaryota; Metazoa; Chordata; Mammalia; Artiodactyla; Camelidae.